GGGUUAUGAACAUCAGUGGUUUUUGUUUACAAUCUGAUGGCAGUUAUGAGAUGAAUUUUCAUUGGCUGAGCUUUGGUAAACUUGAGUCUCACUUCCUUCCUUUCUGAUGCUUUGCAUGACUGUAGAAUAGCAACAGUAGGCCUAUCAUUUGCUGGCACACUUUCCUUAUGUGAGUGCUGGAGUCUGGCAAUCUGACUGGCGAAGAGCUUGCACCUUCUGUGCUGGAUAUACUUGAAGCAUUUGGUUUGUUAUAUUAGAGCCUGUCAUCUGGCUCUUGUACUUGAAAAUGAAAAUCGGGCCGGUGGUUCUUCCAAACCCAGCAAUUUCUUCUGCUUUUGUGCUCAUGUUGCUGUUCUGACACCUACACAAAUGUUUCUAUUUAUAUACUCAGUCUUUAUCAAAGUCUAGCACACAGCAUUUCAACUUUUAAUACAUUUUAAUUGAUAACAGUAUGAAAUUGUAAUGAAAAUGAUUAAUAUUUAAUGCAUUCUUGUUUAUUUGAAUUUGAAUGAUUAUUAUUUAAUUUAGAUACAUUCUUUGAGUCAUGGUCCAGGAGCCCCUCCUACACAGUAAGAGCCAACCAGAUCUACUUGUGUUAAAGCCUAGGUGGCACUGAUGUGCAGUCAAGACCUAUAAAGCUGCAGAGCUCACAGAUGAAUUCUCACAUUCUGGCUUUACAGGAAGAAGCUCCAUUAUACAAGUUAUGAACUGGAAUCCCACUACAUCAUUCCCAGCUAUUUGGUCAUGUGCUAUUAUAGUAGGGCAUGAUUCUCUGUGGCGUUGGGGGUCCCACCUGACCCUGUAUGAGUGCUAAGGCCUGAGAAUUGGAUUACAGCUUAUCCAUAUCAGCAUCUGUAGCUUCCAAACAAAGCCUGUGGGCCCCUGGGCAUAUUUCAAGCAAGCCAGAGUUCACCAAGGACACUCCUGACUGGAAAAGUGGAAUGGCAGAGGACUAUCCAGUGCCAUAAUCCUCUUUCCCUCAACACAUUACCUGAUACACCAGCACAUCGAUUGGCUAACACUACCAACAGAAUCAUAA
Molecule: long non-coding RNA, 1039 nt
Organism: Carassius auratus (goldfish)
Lineage: Eukaryota; Metazoa; Chordata; Actinopteri; Cypriniformes; Cyprinidae
Exons: 2
Source: RefSeq, a predicted model, not a curated record